Molecule: long non-coding RNA, 1163 nt
Filed under: Mytilus galloprovincialis (Mediterranean mussel)
Lineage: Eukaryota; Metazoa; Mollusca; Bivalvia; Mytilida; Mytilidae
Source: RNAcentral
CUUCUCUAUUUCCUUUAUUGUUUUAUUUUGUGUAGGGAAAGACCUGUUUCUAUAAAUAACUUACAAUAUGUACAAAUAUAAACAAGUCACAGUUCAUUUAUACUUUGUAAAACAUUACAAAUAGUGGACGGACAAUUAAAAAUCCCAUUAUUUACUUUAAAUAUUCAAUUAAAUAGAAAAAUAAUAAUAAUAUCCAUAACAUUAAAACUAAAGGUAAUAUCAUCAAAUAAAGUUUGACAUGUAUCUUAUAAGUAUUCUAGUCAUUUACUUUAACUUGUAUGUCAAAUAUAAAUAUGCUCACAUAAAAAAAAUAGAAAGUUAAUUAUUCAGUUUAUAUUUAAAGAAAAUGUCAGAGAAUGACAAACUAAAUGUCUAGUAAAAUGUUGCAAAUUAAAUUUGGAUAACACUUAUUUGAUAUCUAUUCAAGAGGUGAUAAACAUUGAAUUCCUUUUCUACCAGUCCAAAUCUUUAUUCAGAUGAAUUCCGAUUUAUCAUUUUGAUUAAAAUAAAAAAAAAUAAAAAAAUAGGUUUAGAUUUUACACUUUUUCAUCUCACAAGGUCAAAUGUAAUAUUGUAUGUUACAAAUACACACACAGAUCUGUAUCUCUCAUUAGCUUAGGACUAUUGUAAAGAUAUAUAAAAAUGUCUCUCGUACUUUACAGUACCUACUAGUAUAAUAAAUCUAAUCUUAAUACCCUCAGCUACAGAAAUGCCAUCUACAAAUAUCCAUAAAUAAAUGCAUUUUUGAACUAUUGUCCUACUGACAUUUAAAUGAAAUGACAAUGACUCAAAACUCUUCAAAUGUGAUUAUUAAUAAUGAGGAAAUAAAAUUGUCUACAAAUUAGACAAUUGUUAAUAUUUUUGUUCAAGGAUGAAAAUAAUUAAAGUGAUUUACUUCUUAAAGAUGGCUUUGAAAUCUAAAACUGAAAAUAUGUAAUUAUCAAUUUCGAGCAGGAAAUAAAAGACAUUCUGAGUGCUGCAAAAUGAAAUGGAAUGUUUUGCUUACAUGAUAAAUAGUAUAAGGUAUAGAUAUUUAAUCCCAAGUAAAAUGAACAAACAUAUAUGUAUUUAAUCAUUUAUAAUUCAUAAACAAAGACGACUAUGAGCUAUUUCAAAAUCUUAGCCAAUCUAAUUGUAAUUAAACGUGUUCCUUUUGAUAAACA